GGGGAUUUAGCUCAGUUGGCUAGAGCGUUAGACUGGCAGUCUAAAGGUCACCGGUUCGAUCCCGGUAAUCUCCA
RNAcentral lists this transfer RNA (74 nucleotides) under Bacteroidales bacterium. RNAcentral describes it as "tRNA-Ala". It matches the Rfam family "tRNA". Rfam says of the family: Transfer RNA (tRNA) molecules are approximately 80 nucleotides in length. The record is from RNAcentral. Lineage: Bacteria; Pseudomonadati; Bacteroidota; Bacteroidia; Bacteroidales.